AUGCAUCCCUGGAUCAUAGCAGACUCUGCCUAUAGAGGCCUGGGGUCCCUUUGGCAGCACUUUUCUCAAGAAAGUAGAGUCGUGGACAACCAACUGCACAGGUUGGGAGGUGCUUGCAGGCUUUGAAGAACAAGCUGCCAUGAAUCCUGCAGCUACAAGGAAAUGAACUCUAUUAACUUGAGUGAGCUUAAAACUAGAUCCUUCCCCAGUCAAGCCUCCAGGUGAGAAUUCAAUCCUGGCUGGCACCUGGAUUGCAGCUUACAGAAGACCCAGCUAAGGCCAUGUCUGGACUUUAAAUCCACAGGAACUGCAAGGGAACUGUUUGAUACACGCAACCAGGACUGUAUGAGAGGCUGGAAACGUAUCUAUCAGUACUACUUAUCUGUAGUAAAGACUUUUUUAAGCUCAUUUAUGAUUGCACAACCUAAAUAACCAUACAUGGCUGGGCCUGGGAAAGGCAGAAAGGCAGAUGGGUGGUAUCAGAAGUGGGACCUGCAGUGGGGCAUCUAGCAACCCCCAGGAGCAUUGAGUGACCAGGCUUGGGACCCACCGGGCGCAGGGUGUCCAUUGUUCUCUCGAAGCAACUGAGAAUUGUGGGUGCAGAUAUUCUUCAUUAUUCCAUCAUCAUCUCAAACCUCUUGGGUAUAGUGUUUGACUACUACUGUGACCAUAAAUUCCAAUAAAACCUAGGAAAAAUGAAACCACUACAUUAACUGAAAGGGAUCAGUGUAUGUGAGAAGUUUGGAUUUCUACCCCCACCUGGCAAUAAUAAGGAUCACAGGUGUGAGCCACCAUUCCCGGCCCCACAUGGACAUUCUUCAACUAAAAAUAUUCAAUAAAAGAAGUAAAAACCAAAUGGAUGGGCUAAAGAACAGAAUAGAGAGGACAGAGGAAAAAUAUCAAUGAAAUUGAAGAUAGAACGAUAGACAUUAUACAAUCUGAACAAUAGGGAAAUUACACUGAAAGGAUUUGACAGCUUCUUUUGGGCAUAUCAGAAUCGCCAGCAUCACUACUCUUGCACUGUGCGGCCAUUAUUAAGUGAAAUAAGGAUUACUUGAACACAAGCACUGCAAUGCCGCUACAGUCAAUGUGAUAACCCAGCUGGUGACUAAGUGACCAAGGACGGGGAGUAUCUACAGCGGGGAGACUCUGGAAAAAGGGAGGAUUCACAUCCAGUGCCACUGGGGCAGGGCAGAAUGAGAGUUCAUCAUGCUACAAAGAAUGGCACAGAAUAUAUCAGAGAGACUUCUCUACUGCUUGGGAUGCUUGUUCAGAGUAUAAUUUCCAUAGCAGCAAGAAAAGGAAUUUUUGUUUGUGGAUACUUUAAAGUAAAUAAAGCUAUUAUAGAAGGCAAAAGAGUAGGUUCUGACAGUUUCAUCCAUCACAAUACAGGCCUCACCAUGUCACUGCCUCAGACUGAUAAAUGCAAAAUGACAGUCAUUCAUCCGGUGGAAUAGAAGAAGCCAGGGAAAAUACAACAUGAAGUCACUUAUGCCAUUUGAUAUAGCUUUGCAAUGUGUAUCUUUUCUCUCCCCUAUCUUUUGUUUUGUUUGUGUACAUGCCAGCAUGAUUAUAGUCUUUGCAAAAAUAUAUACAAGACAACACAUUUCCCUAAAAUAAAAAAGUAUGAAUUUAGAAAGAUUAUAGCUACAUUAAAAUGAAUUCAGAAUCUACUAUGACAUAAAUAGAAUUAGUUAAAGAUUAAGGUUAGAAAGUAAAUGUCACUUCUUAACUUUUUCUCUUUCUUGCUAUUGAGGAGCACAAUCUAAAAUUUGUAGGCAGAUAGAGUAUAAAAGUAAUGUACAAUUAUGGCACUUAUACUAUUUUUUUCUUUUAUACAACAAUUCUACAAAAAUAAUGACUAUAUGUACACAUUAAAGGAAACUGUAGAUUUACUGAAAAAUAGGUAUUAAUAAUAUGGAUAUCAACAGCUGUGUACCUUUAAUUUAAAAAUUAAAAAAAUAAAAAUAACAGUAAACUGAAAGUCUCCAUUCUCUCAUCUUCCUUUUCCUAUGUUUAUUUUUAAACAAAUUAUACUGCAUAUAUCGAUAUCUAUUAGGGUCAUGUGUUGACUUAGCAAUAAAUUUAAUUAUUGGUUUAGAUAUCUUACAGAUGUAUGGAAUCUCUAAUAUACACAUUUUUGUUUAAUAUGUUACUGAGAAAGAAGCUCAAGUGAUAGAAAUAACACAGGACAGGAAGUAAGACAGUUCUCGUCUGAAGUUCUUCUCUGACAGCCCACAAACUAGUUAAUAUGUGUGCCUGUCACAGUCUCCACCAGAAGCUUUAUCUUACUACAGAGUCCAGAUGCAUUAAGGCUGUGUUCGAGCCAUGAUCUUCCUCUGAAGAAGAAAUGAAGAAGAAAUUUAUCUUAUUUUUGGAUAUAGUGUUCUUAGUUGGCAGUUUAAUUAUUAUUUUUACUUCAUCACUUUGUAUACGUCAUCGCACUUUCUCCUGGCCUAUAAGAUCUCUCCUGAGAAAUUUUACGUUCUACUUUACUGGAACUUCAUUAAAUAUUAUUUGCAUCAUUUUUCCCAGAGUUAAUGAACACCUGAAUCUGCGAAUAUGAUUUGAAUAGGAAAGAAUGGGCAGAUACAAGACAUAUUGUGAGGGGAAUCUGAGGUUUGAGUAAAAGAUUUCUUGCCAUCCUAAAGGAAAAGAGUUGAGAUGAAGGAAUGAGUCAUAAAAUUAAUAUGAAGAUUUUUACAUCUACAGUCUUAAGAGUAAUCGGAUUUUCAAAAUUUGACCAAAAUAUAAGCCUCUUCAGCCAUCAGAAGGACACUGUAUCCUCCUCUCACCUUCAGUGCCCGGAUGCAGGAGGUAACUCCCUGGUGAGGAAGACCUAAGUAUAUGGCCAUAGAUUCAUAAGGAGAAUGGAAGAGAAAAGUGCUUUUAAAAGUGAUAAAUUUGAGAAAAACAGGAAGAUGAUUCCAAGUCAUGUUAUUUCCAAGGAAGCAACAAUAACUUCACUGGACCCCUGCUGAUCUUAAAGUGCAGCAUGAAAAACAGUCUUGGAGACUUCUAGAGAUGUCCAAAGUAUGCCUACGGGGAGCAAUAGGGAUACCAGGAGAAUCUGAUGGUAGACGUAUAUUAAAAAAGCUAUUUACAUGUUAAAGACUAUGCCUGACAAAGGAGAGGCUCUGCUGAAUAUGGAAGGGUGUAAACAGUAGAACGAACCUGGACCAUUGAACCCCUGAAUUAUCCAACCAUCUUACUUCUGGACUUCUUAUUUUGUGACUAAAAAUUCCUUUUGAAAUGAGAGUUAUUUGUGAUUGAGAUCUGGUUUACUUAGGAAGGCCCUUGCCAGAUGCCAGCAACUUGAUAUUAGAUUU
This 3329-nucleotide long non-coding RNA is filed under the name Homo sapiens (human). RNAcentral's name for it is "long non-coding RNA NONHSAT215881.1". The record is from RNAcentral. Lineage: Eukaryota; Metazoa; Chordata; Mammalia; Primates; Hominidae.